AUUCCGGUUGAUCCUGCCGGAGGACAUUGCUAUUGGGAUUCGAUUUAGCCAUGCUAGUCGAGCGAGUUUAGACUCGCGGCGAAUAGCUCAGUAACACGUGGCCAAGCUCCCCUUCAGUCAGCGAUACCCUCGGGAAACUGAGGUUAACAGCUGAUACAAAACGCCAGCUGGAAUGCGGCGUUUCAGAAAGACAUCGCUGAAGGAUGCGGCUGCGGCCGAUUAGGUAGACGGUGGGGUAACGGCCCACCGUGCCAGUAAUCGGUACGGGUGAUGAGAGUCAGAGCCCGGGGACGGAAUCUGAGACAAGAUUCCGGGCCCUACGGGGCGCAGCAGGCGCGAAACCUUUACACUGCACGGAAGUGCGAUAGGGGAAUCCCAAGUGCGAGGGCAUAUUAGCCCUCGCUUUUCUCGACUGUAAGGUGGUCGACGAAUAAGAGCUGGGCAAGACCGGUGCCAGCCGCCGCGGUAAUACCGGCAGCUCAAGUGAUGUCCCAUAUUAUUGGGCCUAAAGCGUCCGUAGCU
This 522-nucleotide ribosomal RNA is filed under the name uncultured haloarchaeon. RNAcentral describes it as "bacterial SSU rRNA". It matches the Rfam family "Archaeal small subunit ribosomal RNA", at positions 1 to 526 of the family's 1478-position model. Lineage: Archaea; Methanobacteriati; Methanobacteriota; Halobacteria; Halobacteriales; Halobacteriaceae. The record is from RNAcentral.